Molecule: long non-coding RNA, 514 nt
Filed under: Mytilus galloprovincialis (Mediterranean mussel)
Lineage: Eukaryota; Metazoa; Mollusca; Bivalvia; Mytilida; Mytilidae
Source: RNAcentral
UAAGGACUAUACAAUGCCACUAAGGACUAGAAGGACUACUGUUAUACGUGUUAUUUUUACAUGUUAUGUUAGAGAUUGAUAUUUAAUGCAUAAAUUUCAAAUUUUAUAGAAAAAUAAUCAUAAAUAAAAAAGAUAUUCAACAUUUUCUAAACACGUGCCCAUUUUUCUUUGAUAUACCGAAAAUCAAUGAACCGAUUGACACGUGCCAAAUAAUAUAACAACUGAUUAAACAAUCAUAUUCUUUAAUUUAAGUAAUUUACAAUUGUAUCGAAAAGAUUGAUACUUGAUUAUCAUAAUAAAAUGUGUUGUUCUUAUUUAAAAUGAUUAAAAGAACAAAUAAUUUUGCUUUUGUUUCAUUUAUUUCCCGACAAAGUUAUUUGCCAUAGGUUUUAUCUUUGAUGUGCGCCAACUAAUAAGUAAGAGUGUGGUCAGCUUGGUAAAAUGUUAAUGUAAGAGACAUGAAGACAAAAUGAAUAAAUAUAUUUAUAACUUUUUUGUUUUUAUUUUAAUUCCG